This 4969-nucleotide long non-coding RNA is filed under the name Citrus x clementina. Its description in RNAcentral is "Citrus clementina (C. clementina) long non-coding RNA (CCLE_LNC001751)". Lineage: Eukaryota; Viridiplantae; Streptophyta; Magnoliopsida; Sapindales; Rutaceae. The record is from RNAcentral.
AAUGUGCCAAACGCACAAUAAAUAAAGUGCUAAGCUGACUUUUUCGUAAAUUUUUUUAAAAGAUGUAAUUAGUAGUUAUUGAAUAAAAAUAUAAAAUUAAUUAAAUAUUAACCGUGUAUUGGUAUAAAUGCAUGUGUGACAACAUAUUAUAAAAAGUUUAACACAAAUCACUGAGCAUUAAUCCAAAUCACAAUUUCUCAUCCCAUCUAAAUUAACCUUUGUGAAAGUUGGAAUUUUUUUGCGAAGCAUAUCGAGUUUGAAGUAAAGGACAAAUUUUGUAACGUAGAUAAAAGUAAAACUAUAGCGAUACCCAUGCAUCACAGCAAUGCCCUAAUUAUUUUAAGCAAAAAAUCAGACAACUUCAUUUCUGUACUAUCACAUCAGCUCAUAGUCAUAGACUAGGGUUCUCAAAUGGGUCCAAUGCUUGGAAAAUUGAGUGAGUAGACUGUAGACCACAAUAGGACCUAAUUUUUAUACUCUUAAGUCAAACCUUCAAAUGGAGGAUCAAACAUAGUCUAAGAAAGUGGACCUAGGUUAGCUUAGCACUAUUCUUCAUUUCACACUUCAUCCCUGACUGCAUUUCAUUUAGAUCUUAUUAAUAAAAUUAAAAUUUUUAAAAAUAAUAAUUAAUUAAUAUAAUUGUUCACCUUUGUUAUUGCAUGCCCAAUUAGUGCCCUACCAUAAUCUCGUUGUCUCACAUCACUCUAUCUUCUUUAGUUGAUUCCCGCUGCUCGAGAGAUAGGAACUUUAUUAGAAUGUUGUGACUAAAAACAGGUUAUACUUUUUUUUCUUUUUUACUGAUUUUCAAGAUAAAUAAUAAUUAAUUGACUUUUGUUAAGUUACAAUUCAUAUAAUUUACAUUGCCCUUAAAACAUGCAAAAAAGAGUAAAAUGAAAGUGGAGUCUACUGCAUUCUUGCAUGGGUUAUAAGUUACUUAACGAGAUCCUAAUUGAUUUAUGUAUAUAGAAAUUGGCGAGUCAUCAUUUUAAAAACUGUAGAGACAUGUGAGGAAAAUUUUUAUGAGUUAUGCUGUAAAAUGCUUUUCAUAUAAAUACUUAAUAAGAAGCAUUUUUUUAUUAAUAUUAAAAUUAAAUGUCGCAAAUGAUCUCAAAAUUUUGAGAUAAUUGCAUGAUCAUGAUUUCUUGAUUAUUAUAUUAUUNNNNNNNNNNNNNNNNNNNNNNNNNNNNNNNNNNNNNNNNNNNNNNNNNNNNNNNNNNNNNNNNNNNNNNNNNNNNNNNNNNNNNNNNNNNNNNNNNNNNAAAUCACCUAUUAUUCAUGUGGUAAAUGACUUAUUUUCAUCCUGUACUUCUAAUUGUGGGUAAUAAUAAUUGAAGAUUCAACAAACUUGAAUGUCUUAAUCUGAAGUGACCUUUUUUUUUUUAAUUUGUAAAUCAAAAUAUUAAGUUGUUUGUAGUAUAUUAUGAGAGGUCUAAAUUAUUAGAAAUCUUAGUAGUUGUACCCAUUAGUAUCUAACAAAACAAUAUACUAAUCGAAAACGUUAACAUACACAAUAAUAUAACACCCUUUUAGAUAUUAUACCAAUCUAGGAAUUAGAAAUUAAUUUGACGGUAUAGAAAAAAGAAAGUGAGAAGAUCAUGAUAUGUAUAUAUCUUUUCUUACUUUUGAGAUAUUGUCCUACAAUAGUCGUAGUAGCAGAGGGUUCAUGGAUAAUUCAUACAAUAGACAUAUGGGUUAAUGUGAUCCAUCAUUGUACAUGAUGGUAUUAGUAGUGCACUCCUGCUGGCAGUCCUCCUUUUUUAUUUCUUUCCCAUAUAUUUGGUUUGCUUAUAACAUAGUCAAACAAAAUUUUAUACUUUUUAAACAUAAGCUGAAUAUUUAUUUAAUCUCAACUCCUCCUGAAUAUAUAUAUAUAUAUAUAUAUAUAUAUAUAUAGAAAAUGUGUGCGUGUGUUUUAGUUAUGAAUCCAUAGUUUAUUUAUACACACAUAAAGAUUUCUUAUUUAGUGCCAAUUUCUAUUUUUAAGUUGUUGGAAUUUUCUUUUUUUCUUUUUAACUUAGCCUACAAAGACAAUAAGAUACUAACUUCCAAAGUUAAGUAAAUGAACAAUAUUUUAUUUAUGUAUUUUUCUUAAAUAUUUAAAUGGGGAUAAGAAAUCUCUUCCACUAAAUAUAAAUUUUUACCUUCAAUUAUUACUCAAAUUCGAAUUACCGCGAAUAUACAAUAUAUUUAUGACUGAUUAAGCUACGCCAGGAAGCAUGGGUGUUGUUCAACACACACUCAUUAAGCUGCGCCACAGAGCAUGGAUGUUGUUGAACACACACUCAUUUUCUAUUAAUUUCCCGCAAAAUUUAUUAUUUCAGCCUUCAAAUUUCAUUAUUGAAUGGGUGUUCUUAAGAAUGUUAAAUUUCAGAAAAUUAAUGUGUGUUUUGGAAAAGAAAAAUACAAAUUUAAAAAAUUUAAAAUAAUGUCCGAAAUACGCGACACCUAAAUAGGACAGUAAAACAUUAGCAUCAACUAUCAAGUGAUGAUAAUUCAAUUGAAUUGAUAAAUGAAAGUGAUGCAGCCUAAUCUAGAGAAGACAAGUAUCCAACGGUUGAGGUCAUUCAAGGGAUGGCCCACCAGAGUAGUGAUAGAUGAAAUGACUAAUGUAGGCCAUUAGAAUUGACAUCAACAGUAACCACCAAACCAAACAUAGACUCUGUUGAAUAUGACUUUCAGCUUAAAACUUUACUCAAUUUCCAUAUAUAUAUAUAUAUAUAUAAUUAAGAUAUAUAAAAUUAUAUAUAUCUGUUUCCUUUGACUUCAGAAAUCAGAAGAGCAGGUGAAGCCUAAAAGAUCACUCUUUCUUGAUUUCAUCCAUCAUGUUGAAUUAUUGAUGGGUUCCUAACUUCUUCAAUAGCAUGUGUCAACAUUUUUUUUUUUCUCUUAAAAAAAAUCAAAUUCUUGGAUACAUUUGAAUUACUUUAAGUAGAUAUAAUGAAUUAUUUAUUUUUUCCUUUUUGUUUUAGUAAUUUCUAUAAGAAAUAACUUGGUGAAUAAUCAUAUAAGUGAUGCGAUUUUAUGAUAUAUGUUGAAUGAAAUUGAAAUUGUAUGUUAAUUAAUCAAACAAUAACAUGCGCAUUAAGUUAUUUUAUGUAAUUUACGAGCUCAAUUUUAAAGGUUUUAAAUUUUUAAUGUUUAUCUUUACAGUGAAAAAAAUUUAAUCAUUAUUUUCUGAUCAUGGUGUUAAUUUGCAUUUCUAGUAUUACUUUCAACUUUAUGUUUGAUAAAUUAGAAGUAAAAUAUUAAAGAAUGAAAACGAAUAAAGAAAGAAAAUUUCAAUUUCUUUAUAGGAUCCAUUGAACAAAUCAAUGGAAUAAAGGAAAAGUAAAGAAUAUGUAAUUUACUUUAGUGAUUCGUCCUAUGAUUAUUAUAAACACAUUUAAAUUAAGCUAAUUAAACAGGUAGUAACUGCAUAAAUAAAUAAAUGUUCAUAAAAAAGCUGCUGUUCAGACUCAGUACAUGAUUCUGAACUCGACAAGUGCCCGUGGGUUGAGGCAAUGCAAGGACCCCAAAAAAAGGCAAAAAAACAGAGGACUCUUGGCAGAGAAGAGACGACAGUACGGUUUAAGCGUGAAAAGAGAGAAAGACAUCUCGGAAAUUUCUUCCUCCAUUCAUCAAUGCUCCGUGCCUCAGGCUAAGUAAAAAGAAUAAUAAGAGUACGUGAAUUCAAAAAAAGAACGAAAUCUCUGCGACCAUUUAAUUUGAAAAUAAAUAUCAAAUUAAACACACGUUUUUGUGUUUAAAAUGAUGCUGCGACCAUUUAAUUUGAAAAUAAAUAUCAAAUCAGAUACACGUUUUUGUGUUUAAAAUGAUAACAAACCCUCAAAAUUCGUCAGCAAAGAGAGUGGUGUGUCCUACAAGGAUUUGUAUAAAUUUUAACAAUUAUUUUUAAAUAAUCACAUAAAUUUCUAUUUACGGCACUCCUACUCAAUUAUAUGUUUAUAAAUAACUGGAAGGAUAGUCAAAAUUUAUUUGAAAAGAGGCUUGAGUUGAGUCGUUGAGCGGCCCUUCUCUUAGAAUAAGGUCUCUAAUCUCUAUACUUCUGCCAGAAAAAAAAUUUAAAAAAUAGUAAUAAUAAUAAUUGCAAUUUCAGAGAAUUUGCAGUGUCAGUGCAGCGGCAACUUUAUUGUAAAUUAAGCCAAGAAAAGAAGCUGAGCCUCUGAGUGAGUCAUUGAGUUAUAUGUUUAAAUUAAAUCCAAAGGCGUGAUUAAAGUAGCCUUCAGUUAAUUCUUUAAAAAUUGGUGAACUCGGCAGUGUACUAUACUACUAUUCUGACUCUGAAUUAUCAAAACCACCAUUUUUAGGUCUUGUGCAUUUAAUUUUAUAAGCACUGCAAUAUAUUUGCUGUCAUUUUCCUUAAACAAUCAAAUUUUUAGAGGGAAUCCCCAGAUUUGACGAUGAUUUCCUGACAAAUUUUCCUGGAAAAAUCCCUAUCCCAUUAGUAUUUUUUUCUUUAAUUUUUUUUUUCAAGCAUUAUCUGAGUUAUGUAAUAAAAUAUAUAAUUAGUGUUUACACUAAAGCGGUUAGAUCUUAGCUGGGAUUUCUGACACAAGGGCAGUUCAACUUUAAGAUUUUACUUUUACUAGAAUGUUGGAAGAUUUAUCAAGUUUUUUCUAACAUGUUAAAGACAACAGCUGUAGUUCUUUUAGCUACCUUAGCCUAGCUCAGCUUUUUUUUUUUUUUUUUUGACUAAAACAGCUACAGUUUACAAUCACACUUUUUAUAAUAAAUUUCAUUUGGGUUUUUGGUAAGAGAUUUGGAUUCUGAUAAUGCAAUUGGUUAUUAUCUGAUAAGAAUAUAUGUAUAAUUAAAAUUUAAUUGUAUAUAAAGGUAGUAGAUUCUAAAAAAGUGAGCAUAAUUCAAUUUAGCACAGAAGGAAUUUUAUAAUACAUUAAAAAGUAAUAUAACUAAUUAAUAAUUGCAUGAUACAUGUAAUUAAAAUUUAUAUAACUACUACUUGUGUUUG